RNAcentral lists this ribosomal RNA (752 nucleotides) under archaeon enrichment culture. RNAcentral's name for it is "bacterial SSU rRNA". It matches the Rfam family "Archaeal small subunit ribosomal RNA", at positions 56 to 816 of the family's 1478-position model. The record is from RNAcentral.
AGUUGAGAGGGUUCGGCCCUCGGCGUACUGCUCAGUAACACGUGGAUAACCUGCCCUAAGGAAGGGGAUAACCCCGGGAAACUGGGGAUAAUACCCUAUAGGUUACAGAUGCUGGAAUGCUCUGUAACCGAAAGUUCCGGCGCCUUAGGAUGGAUCUGCGGCCGAUUAGGUUGUUGUCGGGGUAACGGCCCAACAAGCCAGUAAUCGGUACGGGUUGUGGGAGCAAGAGCCCGGAGUUGGAUUCUGAGACACGAAUCCAGGCCCUACGGGGCGCAGCAGGCGCGAAAACUUUACAAUGCGGGCAACCGUGAUAAGGGAACCUCGAGUGCCUGUAUAUGCAGGCUGUCUGGGUGUCUAAAACACACCUAAAGAAAGGGCCGGGCAAGACCGGUGCCAGCCGCCGCGGUAAUACCGGCGGCUCGAGUGGUGGCCACUUUUAUUGGGCUUAAAGCGUUCGUAGCUGGGUUGUUAAGUCCCUUGGGAAAUCCGACAGCUUAACUGUCGGGCGUCUAAGGGAUACUGGCAAUCUUGGAACCGGGAGAGGUGAGGGGUACUUCGGGGGUAGGAGUGAAAUCCUGUAAUCCUCGAGGGACCACCUGUGGCGAAGGCGCCUCACCAGAACGGCUUCGACAGUGAGGGACGAAAGCUGGGGGAGCAAACCGGAUUAGAUACCCGGGUAGUCCCAGCCGUAAACGAUGUGCGUUAGGUGUAUCGGUGACCACGAGUCACCGAGGUGCCGAAGGGAAACCGUG